GUAACAAGGUCUCCGUUGGUGAACCAGCGGAGGGAUCAUUACCGAGUUUACAACUCCCAAACCCCUGUGAACAUACCUUAAUGUUGCCUCGGCGGAUCAGCCCGCGCCCCGUAAAACGGGACGGCCCGCCAGAGGACCCAAACUCUAAUGUUUCUUAUUGUAACUUCUGAGUAAAACAAACAAAUAAAUCAAAACUUUCAACAACGGAUCUCUUGGUUCUGGCAUCGAUGAAGAACGCAGCAAAAUGCGAUAAGUAAUGUGAAUUGCAGAAUUCAGUGAAUCAUCGAAUCUUUGAACGCACAUUGCGCCCGCUGGUAUUCCGGCGGGCAUGCCUGUUCGAGCGUCAUUUCAACCCUCAAGCCCCCGGGUUUGGUGUUGGGGAUCGGCUCUGCCUUCUGGCGGUGCCGCCCCCGAAAUACAUUGGCGGUCUCGCUGCAGCCUCCAUUGCGUAGUAGCUAACACCUCGCAACUGGAACGCGGCGCGGCCAUGCCGUAAAACCCCAACUUCUGAAUGUUGACCUCGGAUCAGGUAGGAAUACCCGCUGAACUUAAGCAUAUCAAUAA
RNAcentral lists this ribosomal RNA (564 nucleotides) under Fusarium avenaceum. RNAcentral's name for it is "eukaryotic LSU rRNA". The stretch from base 193 to 346 matches the Rfam family "5.8S ribosomal RNA". The record is from RNAcentral. Lineage: Eukaryota; Fungi; Ascomycota; Sordariomycetes; Hypocreales; Nectriaceae.